RNAcentral lists this non-coding RNA (45 nucleotides) under Schistosoma haematobium. The record is from RNAcentral. Lineage: Eukaryota; Metazoa; Platyhelminthes; Trematoda; Strigeidida; Schistosomatidae.
AUCCAGCUGAUGAGUCUUAAAUAGGACGAAACACGAGUCCUGAAU